RNAcentral lists this ribosomal RNA (1294 nucleotides) under metagenome. Its description in RNAcentral is "bacterial LSU rRNA". It matches the Rfam family "Bacterial large subunit ribosomal RNA", at positions 1615 to 2925 of the family's 2925-position model. The record is from RNAcentral.
UAGCUUCUAGUGAGAAAGUAACUGCCCGUACCGCAAACCGACACAGGUAGUUGAGGAGAGAAUCCUAAGGUGUGCGAGAGAACUCUCGUUAAGGAACUCGGCAAAAUGACCCCGUAACUUCGGGAGAAGGGGUGCUGACCGCAAGGUCAGCCGCAGUGAAUAGGCCCAAGCGACUGUUUAUCAAAAACACAGGUCUCUGCAAAAUCGAAAGAUGACGUAUAGGGGCUGACGCCUGCCCGGUGCUGGAAGGUUAAGAGGAGAGGUUAGCGCAAGCGAAGCUUUGAAUUGAAGCCCCAGUAAACGGCGGCCGUAACUAUAACGGUCCUAAGGUAGCGAAAUUCCUUGACGGGUAAGUUCCGACCCGCACGAAAGGCGUAACGAUUUGGGCACUGUCUCAACGAGAGACUCGGUGAAAUUAUAGUACCAGUGAAGAUGCUGGUUACCCGCGACAGGACGGAAAGACCCCAUGGAGCUUUACUGCAGUUUGAUAUUGCGUGUUUGUAUCACAUGUACAGGAUAGGUAGGAGCCGAAGAUACCGGGACGCCAGUCUCGGAGGAGGCAACGGUGGGAUACUACCCUUGUGAUAUGACCACUCUAACCCGCUGCUCUUAGCGAGCAGGGAGACAGUGUCAGACGGGCAGUUUGACUGGGGCGGUCGCCUCCAAAAAUGUAACGGAGGCGCCCAAAGGUUCCCUCAGAAUGGUUGGAAAUCAUUCGUAGAGUGUAAAGGCAGAAGGGAGCUUGACUGCGAGACCUACAAGUCGAGCAGGGACGAAAGUCGGGCUUAGUGAUCCGGUGGUUCCGCAUGGAAGGGCCAUCGCUCAACGGAUAAAAGCUACCCUGGGGAUAACAGGCUUAUCUCCCCCAAGAGUUCACAUCGACGGGGAGGUUUGGCACCUCGAUGUCGGCUCAUCGCAUCCUGGGGCUGUAGUCGGUCCCAAGGGUUGGGCUGUUCGCCCAUUAAAGCGGUACGCGAGCUGGGUUCAGAACGUCGUGAGACAGUUCGGUCCCUAUCCGUCGCGGGCGUUGGAAAUUUGAGAGGAGCUGUCCUUAGUACGAGAGGACCGGGAUGGACACACCGCUGGUGUACCAGUUGUUCUGCCAAGAGCAUCGCUGGGUAGCUAUGUGUGGACGGGAUAAACGCUGAAAGCAUCUAAGCGUGAAGCCCCCCUCAAGAUGAGAUUUCCCAUCACUUUAAGUGAGUAAGACCCCUGAGAGAUGAUCAGGUAGAUAGGUUGGGAGUGGAAGUACAGCGAUGUAUGGAGCGGACCAAUACUAAUCGGUCGAGGACUU